Molecule: ribosomal RNA, 305 nt
Filed under: uncultured bacterium
Lineage: Bacteria
Description: bacterial SSU rRNA
Rfam family: Bacterial small subunit ribosomal RNA
Source: RNAcentral
GCCUACGGGACGCAGCAGUGGGGGAUAUUGCACAAUGGGGGAAACCCUGAUGCAGCGACGCCGCGUGAGUGAAGAAGUAUUUCGGUAUGUAAAGCUCUAUCAGCAGGGAAGAAAAAAGACGGUGCCUGACUAAGAAGCCCCGGCUAACUACGUGCCAGCAGCCGCGGUAAUACGUAGGGGGCAAGCGUUAUCCGGAUUUACUGGGUGUAAAGGGAGCGUAGACGGCAGGGCAAGUCUGGAGUGAAAGCCCGGGGCCCAACCCCGGGACUGCUUUGGAAACUGCCAUGCUGGAGUGCUGGAGAGGG